This is a long non-coding RNA of Anneissia japonica, 335 nucleotides long. RefSeq lists it as uncharacterized. The transcript has 2 exons. The record is from RefSeq and is a predicted model, not a curated record. Lineage: Eukaryota; Metazoa; Echinodermata; Crinoidea; Comatulida; Comatulidae.
AACACCUUAGAGAUGCAGUUGUUGAUGCAGUCAAUCAAAACUUAACUGUACAGCAAAAGGCCCAAUGUGCAGACAGCAGUUGUAAGCCUGUUUGCACAACACUGGAAUCCACGGACAAGGCAAAACAGAUGUCGCCUAUGUCUAACAGUAACAAUGAUACGUUAGAUUCAUUCCUUUCGCCAGGGACAAUUAUCCAGCUUCUUCGAAGCCCUAAUGCAGAAAGGCUCACUUGUGCUGCAAUGACCAGCAUGUUUACUACUAGUGAACUUGCAGCUGGGUUGGUAACCGGCCAACGCUUAAAAAAGGAGGACAAAGAUCGGCCAGUGUUGGACCAA